Molecule: ribosomal RNA, 245 nt
Filed under: uncultured Lactobacillus sp.
Lineage: Bacteria; Bacillati; Bacillota; Bacilli; Lactobacillales; Lactobacillaceae
Description: partial 16S ribosomal RNA
Rfam family: Bacterial small subunit ribosomal RNA
Source: RNAcentral
UGGGGAACCUGCCCCAUAGUCUGGGAUACCACUUGGAAACAGGUGCUAAUACCGGAUAAGAAAGCAGAUCGCAUGAUCAGCUUUUAAAAGGCGGCGUAAGCUGUCGCUAUGGGAUGGCCCCGCGGUGCAUUAGCUAGUUGGUAAGGUAAAGGCUUACCAAGGCGAUGAUGCAUAGCCGAGUUGAGAGACUGAUCGGCCACAUUGGGACUGAUACACGGCCCAAACUCCUACGGGAGGCAGCAGUC